GACGAACGCUGGCGGCGUGCUUAACACAUGCAAGUCGAACGGUAAGGCCCUUCGGGGUACACGAGUGGCGAACGGGUGAGUAACACGUGGGUGAUCUGCCCUGCACUUCGGGAUAAGCCUGGGAAACUGGGUCUAAUACCGGAUAGGACUCCUGGCUUCAUGGUUGGGGGUGGAAAGCUUUUGCGGUGUAGGAUGGGCCCGCGGCCUAUCAGCUUGUUGGUGGGGUAAUGGCCUACCAAGGCGACGACGGGUAGCCGGCCUGGGAGGGUGACCGGUCACCCUGGGACUGAGAUACGGCCCAGACUCCUACGGGAGGCAGCAGUGGGGAAUGUUGCACAAUGGGCGCAAGCCUGAUGCAGCGACGCCGCGUGAGGGAUGACGGCCUUCGGGUUGUAAACCUCUUUCAGCUAUGACGAAGCGCAAGUGACGGUAGUAGCAGAAGAAGGACCGGCCAACUACGUGCCAGCCGCCGCCGUAA
RNAcentral lists this ribosomal RNA (478 nucleotides) under uncultured bacterium. RNAcentral describes it as "partial 16S ribosomal RNA". It matches the Rfam family "Bacterial small subunit ribosomal RNA", at positions 28 to 523 of the family's 1533-position model. The record is from RNAcentral.